GGCUGGUCUGAAAGCAGUGGUAUUUACAACUAAUUGAUCACAACCAUUUACAGUUCCUUUGUUAUUUCUCUACUCCCACUGCUUCACUUGACUAGCCAUAA
RNAcentral lists this Y RNA (101 nucleotides) under Microcebus murinus (gray mouse lemur). RNAcentral's name for it is "Y RNA (ENSMICG00000043420.1)". It matches the Rfam family "Y RNA". From Rfam's summary of the family: Y RNAs are components of the Ro ribonucleoprotein particle (Ro RNP), in association with Ro60 and La proteins. The Y RNAs and Ro60 and La proteins are well conserved, but the function of the Ro RNP is not known. In humans the RNA component can be one of four small RNAs -- hY1, hY3, hY4 and hY5. Lineage: Eukaryota; Metazoa; Chordata; Mammalia; Primates; Cheirogaleidae. The record is from Rfam by way of RNAcentral.